Long non-coding RNA from Thalassophryne amazonica, 359 nucleotides. RefSeq lists it as uncharacterized. The record is from RefSeq and is a predicted model, not a curated record. NCBI's taxonomy places the organism in Eukaryota, Metazoa, Chordata, Actinopteri, Batrachoidiformes, Batrachoididae. The transcript has 3 exons.
UUUGAGCACUGAUGCAAUUACAAUAGGUAACACAUUUUCACUUUUGUCUUGUUCCUGGGUUAAAACCAUAAUUUCCCAUUUCUUCACAACCAAUCAAAAGAGAAAAGAUUGGUCUUGACCUCCAAACUCUGGUUUUGUGGUCAGGAUAAUGAAAUUGCAAAUUAACCAGUUUUCGCAUUCACUGAGUGGUCACUACUAAUUUCUGGAAAACUUAAGUCCAUUUGUCAGAGUUGUGGUCAUCAUAUUUUCUUUUUGUGAUCAUGUCAAAAGUGUUUAAACAUCAUUUCAAACAUAAUACAAUGUUGACAAAGCAAUUAUAUUUAUGAAAACCUUCCUCAUUUGUACAGAUUGAGCAAGAA